This 673-nucleotide long non-coding RNA is filed under the name Phoenix dactylifera (date palm). RNAcentral describes it as "long non-coding RNA (PDAC_LNC013655)". Lineage: Eukaryota; Viridiplantae; Streptophyta; Magnoliopsida; Arecales; Arecaceae. The record is from RNAcentral.
UAAAGCUAGUUAAUAGUUCAAUCUUACUUAUCCAUGUAUACACCACAAAUAAUUUAUUUGCAUACCAAAAAAAAACUUUACCAAAAAGACCAUUGCAAUAAUUAGGAAAUCGCCUAAUAAACUUUGCACUCUAUUGUGAAUUAUAUUACUAGAAAAUGCUUUGUUGUAUCUUCUACUGCAACACCUACACAGGUUCUAGUGCUAAAUAAGAAUUAUAUAAAAGAAAAUUUAGUCUAUAAGCUAGAUAGGCAACUAUAAGAGAUCUGACAGUUACCAUAAUUAUUACACUGGAUCAGAAGUAGUUAAACUUUCUUUUCAUCAAUUGAAAUGUUGAAAACAUAGCACUGACUGAGAAAUUUGAUGCCUGGAGAGUUUACAAUUAGUCUGGUCACUAGGUUCUAGGUGAUAAUUCCAAAGUCUUACCAGAUUGACAUGGACUUAUUAAUUGUGAAAAAGUUAUGUUUAUGGCCAGAUCAAGGUCUGCCAUACCGCCCAUACUAACGUACCGGCGGGCACCCGUACCGGUACGGUACUAGUUGGAAUCGGCCAACAGAGCAGCGAAGUCCGCGGACGCGAAAAAAAUAACACGCGGACGUGUUAAAUGCUGCAAAAUGCCACUCUGUGGCAUUAAAUGGCCCACGCGGGCUGCCCUGGAACCGCACGCAGGCGUGAU